This 257-nucleotide unclassified non-coding RNA is filed under the name Hevea brasiliensis (rubber tree). The record is from RNAcentral. Lineage: Eukaryota; Viridiplantae; Streptophyta; Magnoliopsida; Malpighiales; Euphorbiaceae.
GCUUACCAAGACAAUGCAAUGAGGUGACAUGGUGUUGUUCAUACGGUUCAACUAAAGUCCGUUCUAUACCCGCAAGGGCAAGGUGCGCUCAACAGCUCGCGGAAUCUGUAUAAUUGGACAAGGAGGUACCUACUUGUACAUAUUAAAGAGCUUUAGCUCUCAUGAAAAAGGCUUCAUAAUGUGGAUUAUAGAUAAAAUGCUUAUAUCAGACUAUGGUUCGGUGCCUUCCAUUUGAUCUUUCUACUGAGGUUUUCCAA